GUUAAGCGACUAAGCGUACACGGUGGAUGCCCUGGCAGUCAGAGGCGAUGAAGGACGUGCUAAUCUGCGAUAAGCGUCGGUAAGGUGAUAUGAACCGUUAUAACCGGCGAUUUCCGAAUGGGGAAACCCAGUGUGAUUCGUCACACUAUCAUUAACUGAAUCCAUAGGUUAAUGAGGCGAACCGGGGGAACUGAAACAUCUAAGUACCCCGAGGAAAAGAAAUCAACCGAGAUUCCCCCAGUAGCGGCGAGCGAACGGGGAGCAGCCCAGAGCCUGAAUCAGUGUGUGUGUUAGUGGAAGCGUCUGGAAAGGCGCGCGAUACAGGGUGACAGCCCCGUACACAAAAAUGCACAUACUGUGAGCUCGAUGAGUAGGGCGGGACACGUGGUAUCCUGUCUGAAUAUGGGGGGACCAUCCUCCAAGGCUAAAUACUCCUGACUGACCGAUAGUGAACCAGUACCGUGAGGGAAAGGCGAAAAGAACCCCGGCGAGGGGAGUGAAAAAGAACCUGAAACCGUGUACGUACAAGCAGUGGGAGCACGCUUAGGCGUGUGACUGCGUACCUUUUGUAUAAUGGGUCAGCGACUUAUAUUCUGUAGCAAGGUUAACCGAAUAGGGGAGCCGAAGGGAAACCGAGUCUUAACUGGGCGUUAAGUUGCAGGGUAUAGACCCGAAACCCGGUGAUCUAGCCAUGGGCAGGUUGAAGGUUGGGUAACACUAACUGGAGGACCGAACCGACUAAUGUUGAAAAAUUAGCGGAUGACUUGUGGCUGGGGGUGAAAGGCCAAUCAAACCGGGAGAUAGCUGGUUCUCCCCGAAAGCUAUUUAGGUAGCGCCUCGUGAAUUCAUCUCCGGGGGUAGAGCACUGUUUCGGCAAGGGGGUCAUCCCGACUUACCAACCCGAUGCAAACUGCGAAUACCGGAGAAUGUUAUCACGGGAGACACACGGCGGGUGCUAACGUCCGUCGUGAAGAGGGAAACAACCCAGACCGCCAGCUAAGGUCCCAAAGUCAUGGUUAAGUGGGAAACGAUGUGGGAAGGCCCAGACAGCCAGGAUGUUGGCUUAGAAGCAGCCAUCAUUUAAAGAAAGCGUAAUAGCUCACUGGUCGAGUCGGCCUGCGCGGAAGAUGUAACGGGGCUAAACCAUGCACCGAAGCUGCGGCAGCGACGCUGAUGCGUUGUUGGGUAGGGGAGCGUUCUGUAAGCCUGUGAAGGUGUGCUGUGAGGCAUGCUGGAGGUAUCAGAAGUGCGAAUGCUGACAUAAGUAACGAUAAAGCGGGUGAAAAGCCCGCUCGCCGGAAGACCAAGGGUUCCUGUCCAACGUUAAUCGGGGCAGGGUGAGUCGACCCCUAAGGCGAGGCCGAAAGGCGUAGUCGAUGGGAAACAGGUUAAUAUUCCUGUACUUGGUGUUACUGCGAAGGGGGGACGGAGAAGGCUAUGUUGGCCGGGCGACGGUUGUCCCGGUUUAAGCGUGUAGGCUGGUUUUCCAGGCAAAUCCGGAAAAUCAAGGCUGAGGCGUGAUGACGAGGCACUACGGUGCUGAAGCAACAAAUGCCCUGCUUCCAGGAAAAGCCUC
Molecule: ribosomal RNA, 1576 nt
Filed under: Escherichia coli
Lineage: Bacteria; Pseudomonadati; Pseudomonadota; Gammaproteobacteria; Enterobacterales; Enterobacteriaceae
Description: partial 23S ribosomal RNA
Rfam family: Bacterial large subunit ribosomal RNA
Source: RNAcentral